UACUUGUCACAGCUGAAGGAUGCACAC
RNAcentral lists this non-coding RNA (27 nucleotides) under Mus musculus (house mouse). Lineage: Eukaryota; Metazoa; Chordata; Mammalia; Rodentia; Muridae. The record is from RNAcentral.